AUGCAACUAAUAUUGUGGCCUCUACACAUAUAUUUACCCCUUUUAUGUUUAAAAGUGAUGAAUUGUUGUGGUUGUGGCAUCUGCUAUCUCAUUAAGAGCAGCUACGCACAUAUGACAUAUCACCUCUCGUGGUGUUUGGUUUGCCUUCUCAUGAUUUUGUUGUCCAUGGUGGGAACCAGUUUGGUGCAUUCAGACUUUUUCUUUUUCUGUUUUUACUUUUCCUUGAAUGGAUGUGAUCAUUCUGCUGUCCCUUGGAUAGUUUAUUUUAGGUUAUUUUAUCGGGUUUGGGUCAGUUUGCUUGUUUCAAUUGUUGUUUUACUUUUUAUAAUAUCUUCUACUAUACUAUUUAUCUACUUAUCAGUUUGUACUUUUGGUUACUCCCCACUUCUUUACUGGUUUCAACUUAUGGGUCAUAUAGGGAAAGUUCAGAUGUCAAGAUAA
This 441-nucleotide ribosomal RNA is filed under the name Triticum aestivum (bread wheat). RNAcentral describes it as "partial small subunit ribosomal RNA". Lineage: Eukaryota; Viridiplantae; Streptophyta; Magnoliopsida; Poales; Poaceae. The record is from RNAcentral.